RNAcentral lists this ribosomal RNA (253 nucleotides) under uncultured bacterium. RNAcentral's name for it is "partial 16S ribosomal RNA". It matches the Rfam family "Bacterial small subunit ribosomal RNA", at positions 524 to 776 of the family's 1533-position model. The record is from RNAcentral.
GACAGAGGGGGCAAGCGUUGCUCGGAAUCACUGGGCGUAAAGGGCGCGUAGGCGGGAUGACAAGUCGGUCGUGAAAUCCCUGGGCCCAACCCAGGGGGGUCGGCCGAGACUGUUGUUCUUGAGGGAGGCAGAGGAGCCUGGAAUUCCCGGUGUAGCGGUGAAAUGUGUAGAGAUCGGGAGGAACACCGGUGGCGAAGGCGGGGCUCUGGGCCUCAACUGACGCUGAGGCGCGAAAGCGUGGGGAGCAAACGGG